Molecule: ribosomal RNA, 501 nt
Filed under: uncultured bacterium
Lineage: Bacteria
Description: partial 16S ribosomal RNA
Rfam family: Bacterial small subunit ribosomal RNA
Source: RNAcentral
AUUGAACGCUGGCGGCAGGCUUAACACAUGCAAGUCGAGCGGGGGAAGGUAGCUUGCUACCGGACCUAGCGGCGGACGGGUGAGUAAUGCUUAGGAAUCUGCCUAUUAGUGGGGGACAACAUCUCGAAAGGGAUGCUAAUACCGCAUACGUCCUACGGGAGAAAGCAGGGGAUCUUCGGACCUUGCGCUAAUAGAUGAGCCUAAGUCGGAUUAGCUAGUUGGUGGGGUAAAGGCCUACCAAGGCGACGAUCUGUAGCGGGUCUGAGAGGAUGAUCCGCCACACUGGGACUGAGACACGGCCCAGACUCCUACGGGAGGCAGCAGUGGGGAAUAUUGGACAAUGGGGGGAACCCUGAUCCAGCCAUGCCGCGUGUGUGAAGAAGGCCUUAUGGUUGUAAAGCACUUUAAGCGAGGAAGAGGCUACUUUAGUUAAUACCUAGAGAUAGUGGACGUUACUCGCAGAAUAAGCACCGGCUAACUCUGUGCCAGCAGCCGCCGUAA